This is a long non-coding RNA of Anguilla rostrata (American eel), 263 nucleotides long. RefSeq lists it as uncharacterized. NCBI's taxonomy places the organism in Eukaryota, Metazoa, Chordata, Actinopteri, Anguilliformes, Anguillidae. The transcript is spliced from 3 exons. The record is from RefSeq and is a predicted model, not a curated record.
GCCAAAUACCAGAGCGAAACCUGCUGAAAGGUCAAAGGUUAUUCCGAACAAUUCCUCUCGAAAUCAGAAAAAUGACACAGUGAGUGUGUGAGUACAAGGUUGUGUGAUGGUGUAGGUGUUUGUGGUGUGAGUGUGUGAGUACGAGGUUGUGUGAUGGUGUAGGUGUUUGUGGUGUGAGUGUGUGAUGGUGUAGGUGUUUGUGGUGUGAGUGUGUGAUGGUGUUUGUGCUUAAUGUGUGGAAGUGGUGUAUAAGCGUGAAACAU